ACCUGGCUGGCUCAGUUGUUGGAGCGGGUGACUCUUGAUCUUGGGGUUGUGAGUUCGAGCCCCAUGUUGGGUG
This 73-nucleotide transfer RNA is filed under the name Felis catus (domestic cat). It matches the Rfam family "tRNA". From Rfam's summary of the family: Transfer RNA (tRNA) molecules are approximately 80 nucleotides in length. Their secondary structure includes four short double-helical elements and three loops (D, anti-codon, and T loops). Further hydrogen bonds mediate the characteristic L-shaped molecular structure. tRNAs have two regions of fundamental functional importance: the anti-codon, which is responsible for specific mRNA codon recognition, and the 3' end, to which the tRNAs corresponding amino acid is attached (by aminoacyl-tRNA synthetases). tRNAs cope with the degeneracy of the genetic code in two manners: having more than one tRNA (with a specific anti-codon) for a particular amino acid; and 'wobble' base-pairing, i.e. permitting non-standard base-pairing at the 3rd anti-codon position. Lineage: Eukaryota; Metazoa; Chordata; Mammalia; Carnivora; Felidae. The record is from Rfam by way of RNAcentral. RNAcentral also lists the same sequence under 3 other names.